GCGGGCGUGGCGGAACCGGUAGACGCGCGGGUCUCAAAAACCCGUUCCUUCUGGGAGUGUGAGUUCGAGUCUCACCGCCCGCA
Molecule: transfer RNA, 83 nt
Filed under: Rhodospira trueperi
Lineage: Bacteria; Pseudomonadati; Pseudomonadota; Alphaproteobacteria; Rhodospirillales; Rhodospirillaceae
Rfam family: tRNA
About the family: Transfer RNA (tRNA) molecules are approximately 80 nucleotides in length.
Source: Rfam by way of RNAcentral